UAACAAGUGGAAUGGAACUCAAAGACAA
This 28-nucleotide non-coding RNA is filed under the name Cricetulus griseus (Chinese hamster). Lineage: Eukaryota; Metazoa; Chordata; Mammalia; Rodentia; Cricetidae. The record is from RNAcentral.